RNAcentral lists this ribosomal RNA (465 nucleotides) under Vreelandella stevensii. Its description in RNAcentral is "partial 16S ribosomal RNA". It matches the Rfam family "Bacterial small subunit ribosomal RNA", at positions 338 to 795 of the family's 1533-position model. The record is from RNAcentral. Lineage: Bacteria; Pseudomonadati; Pseudomonadota; Gammaproteobacteria; Oceanospirillales; Halomonadaceae.
CCUACGGGUGGCUGCAGUGGGGAAUAUUGGACAAUGGGCGAAAGCCUGAUCCAGCCAUGCCGCGUGUGUGAAGAAGGCCUUCGGGUUGUAAAGCACUUUCAGUGGGGAAGAAAGCCUUGGGGCUAAUACCCUCGAGGAAGGACAUCACCCACAGAAGAAGCACCGGCUAACUCCGUGCCAGCAGCCGCGGUAAUACGGAGGGUGCGAGCGUUAAUCGGAAUUACUGGGCGUAAAGCGCGCGUAGGCGGUCUGAUAAGCCGGUUGUGAAAGCCCCGGGCUCAACCUGGGAACGGCAUCCGGAACUGUCAAGCUAGAGUGCAGGAGAGGAAGGUAGAAUUCCCGGUGUAGCGGUGAAAUGCGUAGAGAUCGGGAGGAAUACCAGUGGCGAAGGCGGCCUUCUGGACUGACACUGACGCUGAGGUGCGAAAGCGUGGGUAGCAAACAGGAUUAGAUACCCCAGUAGUC